Molecule: long non-coding RNA, 1163 nt
Organism: Catharus ustulatus (Swainson's thrush)
Lineage: Eukaryota; Metazoa; Chordata; Aves; Passeriformes; Turdidae
Exons: 2
Source: RefSeq, a predicted model, not a curated record
UCACUUCACAUCUAGUUAAUAUGACUUUAAUUUGCUUCCCCAUUCUUCAAACUACUUAAGCUGUAGGCUUAAUAUUUCAUUUGGAAGUACAGCAGGAGAUGCAGAAGAGAUAAACUCUCUUGGGCUGAUAUCAUGCCCAUCCACACAGUUUUUAUUGCUUUUUAAACAGGUUAUUAAGGAGCAGAUCCCAAGCACAGGGGUCUCAUGCCUGGAAACAAAACAUGCCACUGAUCUCUUUCAGUCAGGUGCGUGAGCAGAACUUUGACGAGGUUGACAGGUUGCCUGAAGCUGAUAGCUCAGUGUUAUUGUUAGGUAGUGAUGAUCAGCUAGCCGUAUCUGCUAGGUUGGUUUGGCAGGACUUCAAGGUGUGCUUGGCAGGGCUGUUUGCCAGUUCUUGGUGGCAUUGUUGGUGUACUCCCUCUGUACUUCCUUUGCUACUUAUCUCACAGUACAAAACUCUCAGCAGGCAAGUGCCAGCAACCCCAUUAAAAUAUCAGGUAGUACUCUCCAGUGCUGCUAGGUGUCAUACACUUCUGUUGAAUAAUUAAUCUGUGAGGAAGAGGUUAGUAGGAGCAAUUUAUACCAAGCAGAGACCAACUCACGAGUGUACUCUGAAACAAAGAAAAUACACAAGUAGACACAAACUGAACACUAAAAAAAAGGCAGCCACAGGAUUUGCCAGUUUUUGAGAGCUUAGAAAAAUGGGAUACCGACUCAAGCAUCAACCACAACAAUAAAAACAAUUUAACUUGGAAGACUUUUAACUUCAUCCUCUCCAAGAACUCCAUGAGAUUCUCUGCACCUUCUGACUCAUUCUACGCAGCUGAAACCUCUGGACCGUAGCAACAAGGAACAGGAGAUGCUGGAGGGAGAAGCAGAGUGCACUGCAUUGAACAGAUACACAGCCUGCCUAGCAGGAGGAAGAGAAGGAGUCCAGUGACAGGCAGCCUCCUAGGACCUGAGAGUACUCCCCAGCAGCUGCAAGCCUAUCACAAGCUAUCUACAAGAGACACAAAUACAGGUCACUGAUGCUUGGUGGAUGAAGAAGAGAAACAAAUAACACUUAGGAGACUGAAUUUUUUCCACCUGCCAUAAAUAUAGGGCUAAGGAAGAUGACAGGUCUAUCUGCCAUGGAUUGUGAAAGCCCAGGAAGAAACAGAAAA